UACAGAGGUGGCAGGCGUUGUUCGGAAUUACUGGGCGUAAAGGGCGCGUAGGCGGCCCGUCAAGUCCCGUGUGAAAGCCCCCGGCUCAACCGGGGAACGGCGCAGGAAACUAGCAGGCUUGAGUUCGGGAGAGGGAAGCGGAAUUCCGGGUGUAGCGGUGAAAUGCGCAGAUAUCCGGAGGAACACCGGUGGCGAAGGCGGCUUCCUGGACCGACACUGACGCUGAGGCGCGAAAGCUAGGGGAGCAAACGGG
RNAcentral lists this ribosomal RNA (253 nucleotides) under uncultured bacterium. RNAcentral describes it as "partial 16S ribosomal RNA". It matches the Rfam family "Bacterial small subunit ribosomal RNA", at positions 524 to 776 of the family's 1533-position model. The record is from RNAcentral.